CCACUCGACGAUGAGGACAUCACCUCAUACAUCCUCGCUGGCCUCGAUGAUGAUUACGAGCCCGUCGUUUCCUCAAUAGUGGGACGGCAGGAGCCGGUAACUUUUUCUGAGUUAUAUUCACAACUUCUGAAUUUUGAAU
Leersia perrieri is the source of this 139-nucleotide small nucleolar RNA. It matches the Rfam family "Small nucleolar RNA Z247". From Rfam's summary of the family: Z247 is a member of the C/D class of snoRNA which contain the C (UGAUGA) and D (CUGA) box motifs. The record is from Rfam. Lineage: Eukaryota; Viridiplantae; Streptophyta; Magnoliopsida; Poales; Poaceae.